Molecule: ribosomal RNA, 120 nt
Filed under: Bison bison bison
Lineage: Eukaryota; Metazoa; Chordata; Mammalia; Artiodactyla; Bovidae
Source: RNAcentral
GUCUCAGGCCGGAUCAGCCUGAAGGCGCCCGAUCUCGUCUGAUCUCGGAAGCUAAGCAGGGUCGGGCCUGGUUAGGAUCUUGGAUGGGAGACCACCUGGGAAUCCCGGGUGCUCGAGGCU